UCACCCUAUCUAAUCACAGGCAGAGUGGUUAAAGGAGAAGAAUGCGGUCUCAGAAGGCUUCGAUGAGAUGAUAGCUGAUCAAAGCUUUACCAUGAUCUAAAGACCCUGAACAACGCACUGGGGACAGAACGUUCCCUUUCUGAUAGUAACAAAGACUAGCUACAUCCCCUCAUGACCACCUGUGUACCUCAGAUGCAGUGAUGAAGAUGAGACAAAAUGGAUUUGGUCAUCUUGGGUCACCCAGUGUGCUUUCAGCAGAGGCAAAGAGGAUAUUGUUGCCAUCAAUUACCUCUUCACUGACUUCAGUUAGACUGUAGAGAAAUUUACUUUGAUGCAUGACAAUCAAGCGCUGUCUGU
RNAcentral lists this long non-coding RNA (357 nucleotides) under Chinchilla lanigera (long-tailed chinchilla). RNAcentral describes it as "lncRNA (ENSCLAG00000024418.1)". Lineage: Eukaryota; Metazoa; Chordata; Mammalia; Rodentia; Chinchillidae. The record is from RNAcentral.